RNAcentral lists this transfer RNA (76 nucleotides) under Vibrio phage Direpillow8. Its description in RNAcentral is "tRNA-Met". The stretch from base 7 to 65 matches the Rfam family "tRNA", at positions 8 to 63 of the family's 71-position model. Rfam says of the family: Transfer RNA (tRNA) molecules are approximately 80 nucleotides in length. Lineage: Duplodnaviria; Heunggongvirae; Uroviricota; Caudoviricetes; Demerecviridae. The record is from RNAcentral.
GAGGCUUGGCUGAGUUGGUUAUAGCGACUCCUUCAUGCGGAGGAGUACGUGGGUUCAAGUCCCAUCGGUCGCGCCA